GGAGAGGAUGAUCAUUAAUUGUCGCCCCAGUCCUAUUUGUCCCAAGCCAGGGAACAACAAUGAGGAUGGACUGAGCUAAGGCCCCUGAUCC
This 91-nucleotide small nucleolar RNA is filed under the name Coccomyxa subellipsoidea C-169. Its description in RNAcentral is "Small nucleolar RNA U31b". It matches the Rfam family "Small nucleolar RNA U31b". Lineage: Eukaryota; Viridiplantae; Chlorophyta; Trebouxiophyceae; Coccomyxaceae. The record is from Rfam by way of RNAcentral.